UAAAACCCAUUUAGUGGAUGGCCAGGCUGGUGCCCGCAAGGUCACGCGGUAAGCGGCGAUACGCUGAGGGUAGGUGCACGCAACCUAUGAUCCUCAGAUUUGACUGCGCUCCGUAAGGAGCACGAAUUCCCCGAAUUGAAGUAUCCGAGUAGGGGAAAGAAGAGAAAUUCAAUUGAGAUCCGGUUAGUAACGACGAGUGAACGCCGGUCAGACCAAACUGAAUUCCUGGAUAGUAAUGUUCAGGUAGAUGUGGUGAGGAUAGUACUAUCCUUUUUCCGAGCCAAAGUUCUCUGGAACGAGAUGCCAAAGCGGGUAAUAGCCCCUUAGGUAAAGGAAAGAGGAGGGAACUCAUAGAGUAGUGUCUUCCGGAUAGAGGGCACGAACAUGGGAGUAUCAACUUCCAAGUCUAAACAUGAGGCGCCAGACCGAUAGCGAAUUAGUAACGCGAGUGAAUGCUGAAAAGUACCCCGGAAGGGGUGUGAAAAGAUCUGAAACUAGAUGGGGACAGGCAGCCAAGGCAUGAAAGGGAUGUAGGACUUCUGAAGAGAGGAUUCGCAAGGAUCUGAUCGAGGUAGUUUAACCAGUGUCUUGGCUUUCUUCUCGAAGCAAGAGCCAUGGAGUUUUUGAGUGUGGCGAAAUGAAAAUUGAAGCGAAAGCGAGUAUCCGCAGCCCUCACGGGUCAGGGAUGUCGUAGGAAACUGCGAUCAGUCACACUUUCAAGAGCCGAAGCCGGUGCGAUCUAUACGCGGGCAGGUCGAAGCCAACCUGACGGUUGGUGGAGGACCGCAACCAAUGCUAGUAUAUUCUGCUUGGGUGACCUGCGCAUAGGGGUGAUAGUCCAGUCGAGCCCGGCAAUAGCGGCUUCCUUUCGAACUGUGUCUUAGCACAGCGUCUCCUGAGGAGAAUUAUGAGGUAGAGCACUGAUCAGGGAGAACGGCCCCGAAAGGGGUCACUCUCUUCUCAAACUCCGAACUCAUAAUUUCCGUAGACGGAGGCAGUGGGGUGUUCUCCAGGUAAACUGGAGAGCCCUUUCGGGAAUGACCGUACGUAAGGUUAAGGACCCUAAAUGCUGAUUAAGUGUUAAUCGUAAAGGAAUCUCUAUUCAAAGACAGUGGGGAGGUAGGCUUAGAAGCAGCCACCCUCUAACCAACGCGUAAUAGCGGACCCACCGAGAAUGCAGGUUCCGAAGAUAAUCGGGGCUAAAUCAGCUUCCGAUACCUUACCACAGCCCACAAGGCUGAUUGGGUAGAAAGGCGUCCGAAUCGCGCAGAAGCAGGGGCGUAAGUUCCUGUGGAGCGACUUGGAAUGAAUAUCAUGGCGUUAGUAGCAGCUUAUCUAGAUGAGAAUUCUAGACAACUGAUAGGGCACGGUUUCCUGAGCAAUGUUCGUCAGCUCAGGGUUAGGCGAUCCUAAGUAGCGUGGUAAUACCAAUGAUACGAAAGGGAAACAGGUUAAUAUUCCUGUCCCACAGAAGUAGGUGCGGCAACGCAAGGCUUAGUUCUUGACGCCUUGAGAUAGAUGGAGCGGUGAAAGCCGUCUAAAGGUGUAAAUCCUUGGAGUCUCAUUAUGAGGAGAAGGGGAUGAAAACUCGAUGGAGUAAUUCCAUUAAUUCUUGGGGUUCUUAAAAAGGGAACUUUGAACGAUCUUCUGUGUCCGUACCUAGAACUAUUACAGGUGCCCCUAGCUGAAAAUUUUGAAUGAUUCGUCGUUCAAAGAUCAGUAAAAGGCUCAGUUGUGUCAGGAUAACUCAGGCAAGGGAACUAGGCAAACUAGUCCCGUACGUUCGCAAGAAGGGAUGCCUGUGGUCGUGUAGACCGCAGGUCGCAGUAACAUGGGGAGAGCGACUGUUUACCAAAAACACAGAUCAUCGCUAGGUCGAGAGGCCAUGUACGAUGGUCGACGCCUGCUCACUGCCAGUACCUGAAAGUCGGUUUCAACCGGAAAAAGGGCUGGUAAAAAGCGGGGGUAAUUCUGACCCUCUUAAGGUAGCGUAAUACCUCGUCGCUUAAUUGGCGACUUGCAUGAAAGGCGUAACGACUCUCCCGCUGUCCCUGCCUGGGACCUGGUGAACUUACUGCCCGGUGAAGAUGCCGGGGACUUCCAGUGGGAAACGAAGACCCCAUGGAGCUUUACUAUAGCCUGAUGUUGUAAUACAGAUUUUACUACUUAGUGUAAGUGGGAGCGUCGAAGCACGAUCUCUGGGUUGUGUGGAUGCGAAAGUGAAACACCACUUAAUAAGAUCUGUAUUGCUCACUUGAAAAAGGACAGCAUUUGGUGGAUAGUUUGGCUGGGGCGGUACGCCCUCGAAAAGGAAACAAGGGCGCCCAAUGUUCAACUCAUCCGGGUUAGAAAUCCGGAGUAGAGAGUGAAGGAUAAAUGUUGGACUGACUGUAUUCCUAAAAGUGUGGAAUGCAGAGGCGAAAGCCGGGCCUAGUGAACCUUGAAAUCCCUUUGAUGAGGAUUCAAGCUGUCAGACAAGCUACCCUGGGGGUAAUUCUAUUAGUGAAACUUAGUUUUUUUAUGGUCUAGUAGAAACCUUAUACAGGCUCGUCGCGGGCGAGAGUACACUGCGACGUAGUUGAGUGUCUUCGAAAUUGUUGAUUAUACUUUACUUAGUCGCGUACUGAUCGACCCCGCGGUUUGGUACAUCGCUGUCGGCUUGGGACAUCCUGGUCGUGCAGGAAACUCUGUAGGGUUGUUUAUAUUCUCCUCUGGAGUAUGUAAGCGGCCAAGGGUUGGGUUGUUCAUCCAUUAAAGUCCCACAUGAGCUGGGUUCAGUACGUCGCGAGACAGUACGGUAGUAUCUUCUGGAAGCGUUGCUUCUUGAGAGUAAGGACCUUUGAGUACGAGAGGAACGAAGGUCCGAGGCCUAUGGUGUACUGGUUGUCAUUAUGGCAUUGCCAGGUAGCUACGCCUCACGCGGAUAAGAGCUGAAAGCAUCUAAGCUCGAAGCCGCUCUUAAGACUAGGAAGCAAAGCCCGCCCAUAAUAGAUGGGUUUGAUAGAAUCGUGGUGUGCGCAGCUAGCGAAAGCGAGCUGUUUAGCCUUCGAUUACUAAAGGGAUAAUCUCGAUC
This 3073-nucleotide ribosomal RNA is filed under the name groundwater metagenome. RNAcentral describes it as "bacterial LSU rRNA". It matches the Rfam family "Archaeal large subunit ribosomal RNA". The record is from RNAcentral.